GACGAACGCUGGCGGCGUGCUUAACACAUGCAAGUCGAACGGAAAGGCCCUGCUUUUGUGGGGUGCUCGAGUGGCGAACGGGUGAGUAACACGUGAGUAACCUGCCCUUAACUUUGGGAUAACUUCAGGAAACCGGGGCUAAUACCGGAUAGGAUCUCCUGCUGCAUGGUGGGGGUUGGAAAGUUUCGGCGGUUGGGGAUGGACUCGCGGCUUGUCCGCUUGUUGGGGUAGUAGUGGCUUACCAAGGCUUUGACGGGUAGCCGGCCUGAGAGGGUGACCGGCCACAUUGCGACUGCGAUACGGAGCAGAAUGCUACGGGAGGCAGCAGUGGGGAAUAUUGCACAAUGGGCGGAAGUCUGAUGCAACGGCGUCGCGUGCGGGAUGCCGGCCUUCGGGUUGUAAACCGCUUUGGAAUGUGACGAAGCGUGAGUGACGGUAAUGAGUAAAGAAGCACCGGCUAACUACGUG
This 468-nucleotide ribosomal RNA is filed under the name uncultured bacterium. RNAcentral's name for it is "partial 16S ribosomal RNA". It matches the Rfam family "Bacterial small subunit ribosomal RNA", at positions 28 to 507 of the family's 1533-position model. The record is from RNAcentral.